AGCUACAGGCUUAACACAUGCAAGUCGAGGGGCAGCAUGGUCUUAGCUUGCUAAGACUGAUGGCGACCGGCGCACGGGUGAGUAACACGUAUCCAACCUGCCGUCUACUCUUGGACAGCCUUCUGAAAGGAAGAUUAAUACAAGAUGGCAUCAUGAGUCCGCAUGUUCACAUGAUUAAAGGUAUUCCGGUAGACGAUGGGGAUGCGUUCCAUUAGAUAGUAGGCGGGGUAACGGCCCACCUAGUCUUCGAUGGAUAGGGGUUCUGAGAGGAAGGUCCCCCACAUUGGAACUGAGACACGGUCCAAACUCCUACGGGAGGCAGCAGUGAGGAAUAUUGGUCAAUGGGCGAGAGCCUGAACCAGCCAAGUAGCGUGAAGGAUGACUGCCCUAUGGGUUGUAAACUUCUUUUAUAAAGGAAUAAAGUCGGGUAUGCAUACCCGUUUGCAUGUACUUUAUGAAUAAGGAUCGGCUAACUCCGUGCCAGCAGCCGCGGUAAUACGGAGGAUCCGAGCGUUAUCCGGAUUUAUUGGGUUUAAAGGGAGCGUAGACGGAUGUUUAAGUCAGUUGUGAAAGUUUGCGGCUCAACCGUAAAAUUGCAGUUGAUACUGGAUAUCUUGAGUGCAGUUGAGGCAGGCGGAAUUCGUGGUGUAGCGGUGAAAUGCUUAGAUAUCACGAAGAACUCCGAUUGCGAAGGCAGCCUGCUAAGCUGCAACUGACAUUGAGGCUCGAAAGUGUGGGUAUCAAACAGGAUUAGAUACCCUGGUAGUCCACACGGUAAACGAUGAAUACUCGCUGUUUGCGAUAUACAGCAAGCGGCCAAGCGAAAGCGUUAAGUAUUCCACCUGGGGAGUACGCCGGCAACGGUGAAACUCGAAGGAAUUGACGGGGGCCCGCACAAGCGGAGGAACAUGUGGUUUAAUUCGAUGAUACGCGAGGAACCUUACCCGGGCUUAAAUUGCAGAUGAAUUACGGUGAAAGCCGUAAGCCGCAAGGCAUCUGUGAAGGUGCUGCAUGGUUGUCGUCAGCUCGUGCCGUGAGGUGUCGGCUUAAGUGCCAUAACGAGCGCAACCCUUGUUGUCAGUUACUAACAGGUUCCGCUGAGGACUCUGACAAGACUGCCAUCGUAAGAUGUGAGGAAGGUGGGGAUGACGUCAAAUCAGCACGGCCCUUACGUCCGGGGCUACACACGUGUUACAAUGGGGGGUACAGAGGGCCGCUACCACGCGAGUGGAUGCCAAUCCCCAAAACCUCUCUCAGUUCGGACUGGAGUCUGCAACCCGACUCCACGAAGCUGGAUUCGCUAGUAAUCGCGCAUCAGCCACGGCGCGGUGAAUACGUUCCCGGGCCUUGUACACACCGCCCGUCAAGCCAUGGGAGCCGGGGGUACCUGAAGUGCGUAACCGCGAGGAGCGCCCUAGGGUAAAACUGGUGACUGGGGCUA
Molecule: ribosomal RNA, 1441 nt
Filed under: uncultured organism
Description: SSU rRNA
Rfam family: Bacterial small subunit ribosomal RNA
Source: RNAcentral